AUGUCUUCCUCCGGCUCCUCCCAGAUCGGCCUCAACAGCCAGGUCACGGAGAAGCUCACCCGUACGAACUACGUACCGUGGCGCGUCCAGAUCACGCCGCAGCUAAGGGGAGCAGGCGUCCUCGGCUAUGCCGACGACAACACGCUGGAGCCAGCCCGCUUCCUUCCUGGCAAGGACAAGGACGGCAAGGACUCCACCGAGCCCAACCCUCUCCACCCAAUCUGGGUCCGGAAGGACCAACAAGUGCUCGGGUACCUGCUCAAUAAUCUCUCAAAAGAGGUGUUGGUGGAGGUGACUGCUAUCACCAUGACGCACGCGCUCUGGACCACUCUGGCAGCCAUGUUCUCCUCGCAGUCGCUUAGCCGUGUCAACAACAUCCGCACGGCUUUGCUGCAUGCGCAGAAGGGAACUCAGCCGGUCGCCACCUUCUCCGCCCACAUGCGCGGCCUCGCUGAUGCACUCGCCGCGGCCGGCAAGCCGUUGCAAGACGGCGAGACCGUCUCCUACAUCAUCCACGCGCUGGACAUGGAGUACCAGCCUCUGGUGUCGGCCCUUGAUGCCCGUACCUUCCCCGUCACCCUAGAUGAGUUGUUCACCAUGCUAAGCAAUUUUGAUUAG
Molecule: ribosomal RNA, 618 nt
Filed under: Triticum aestivum (bread wheat)
Lineage: Eukaryota; Viridiplantae; Streptophyta; Magnoliopsida; Poales; Poaceae
Description: partial small subunit ribosomal RNA
Source: RNAcentral